RNAcentral lists this long non-coding RNA (2467 nucleotides) under Anas platyrhynchos platyrhynchos (common mallard). RNAcentral's name for it is "lncRNA (ENSAPLG00000019337.1)". Lineage: Eukaryota; Metazoa; Chordata; Aves; Anseriformes; Anatidae. The record is from RNAcentral.
CCGCCCUGUGCCCGAGGCGAGGCUGCGGGCGAGGGGCACCCAGCUGCCCCGGGGGGGGACACACAGGAGCACCGAGAGCCCGUCCCGGCCGGUCCCCGCCGGCCCGGGGAGGCGGAGCAGGGGCGGGGAGGUGCCGCGGGCCGGCCCCAAACCCUGAGCGCUGCCCGCGCCCGGGGAGGGCUGCUCGGGGCAGCCGCCCCCAUUGGCAGCGGCGUGCGCCCUCCUCUUCCUCCCUCCUCUUCCCUCCUCCGGGGGGGGCUUCAGCCCUCCUCUUUCCUAAAGGAGGAGGAGGAGGAGGAGGAGGAGGAGGAGGGGGGGAGAGUCUUUAAAAAAAUUAAAAGAAAAAGAAAUCCCAAGUCGUGUCCCCGACGUCUCAGCGGCCGCCCCACAUUCCUGGCAUUCCUGCGCCGUGACUCCCCGCACCGCGCCGCCCCGGCCCCGGCCCCGGCCCCGCCGCCUCCGGCUCGCCCCCGCGGGCCGCCCGUCCCCGCCCUGCCGCCUGCCUCCUUCCCUCCUUCCCUGCCUCCUUCCCUGCCUCCCUGCCCGCCUCCCUCCGUCCCGCACCCCGCGGGCGGCAGCAGGAGCUCCGGGCGCCGCCGCCGCCCCGCCGAACUUCCCCGCCGUGGCCGGGCCGGGGCGGCGGGAGCGGCUUCUCCCUGCCCAGCGCCCCGGGGAGCGGCCCCGCCGCUGCUCCCCGCCCGCAGCCGCGGAGCCGGAGCCGCCCAGCAGGAAGAGGCUUGGCUACCCCUUCCCUGCCCCAUGCCUUCUUCUCCAGCCCCACUGAAGCUGUGUCUCCGCGAGUGGGAUUCACUGAGAGAGAGCUGCCGCCGCCGCAGUGCCUUUCAAGUACUGGUAAGCCAUUAGAAGGAGCUGCCAUCAUCUCAGAUCUUAAUCUGUUUUAGCAGAUAAAGAGGAAAAUGCUAUCAGAGGAGAUGGAGUUAUCAUUUGGGUGCAGAAAUCGCAUGAAAAGAACGCGAGUUGUGUAAGAAGUGCCAAAACCUCUGAUGAGUUUCCUUGGGACUUGUCAGUUUUCGUGCACCGACUCCGCUUUCUCCGUGACAUGUUUUGCCUGGAGGCAGCAGUAAGCCAUCAAAAUAUAACAGGAUAUCCUGCCACGCAAGGGCGAAGAUCUUAAGGAUCCAGGUCUCCCAAGGCUGUGGCUGGCUGAUGUAAGCUAUUCUCAAGUGGAAUCUCCAGUUUUGGAGUGAUAGUUUUUUAAAGUUGUUUGUUUUGUUUUGCUUUAAAAGAAAAAGUUGCAUGUUUUUUGCAUACCACCAACUGCUCACGGAAGAUAAGAAAUUGCAGCAGCCAGAGCUUCAGAUUUAUUGCUGUGGUCGAUUUCCUGUUAUUUUUAAUAGGAUAUGGCCCCUCCACUUUCAAACUACUGAGCUGUAUCAAAGAGAGUGGAUCGCGUUUCAGACCACCGUGCCUGUGGGUUUUUCAACACAUGCUCGUGACCGGGCUUCAGGCGCCCUGAGCAGGGUUAGAGCUGGUUUAACGCUCUCUUUGUGUUUGCAGACAUGUGCCAGCUGCUGGGGACGAGGAUUUUUAGGAGCUGGCAUUUGGUUCAAUUUAAAGUAGCUUUGUUUGUUUAAAAAACAAACAAACAAACAAAAAAAACCUUCCAUAAAUUUGGGAAUUUGCAGCUGGCUGAUAGAAGAGAGAUUCAGGCUCUUUGCCGUGGCUGGAGGGGUGGGUGGAAAUUGGCUGGUGAGCUUUUAGCAGGUAAAGUUGGGGUUAAACAUCAAGGUUUUAACAGAAAAACAUGCCUCCGCCCCCUCCGAUUAAUUUUGUUUGGAUUCUUUUGACUGUUUUCAUUCAAAACCGUUCUGAGCGCUGUGUGUAAGUAGUCAAAAUAUCCCAGUGUUCUGGUGUGUGAUAAAAAUAAGGGAACGGCAAACUGAGCCAGGCUGUAACAGAGCCCCGGAGAGAGCUAGGGGAGGGAGUUCAGCUGGUCUGCAGUUGCUGUGGUGCUGGUAGGACUUGGAGAUGGAGGGGGGCUAGUGCCCUGCUCGGGGUCCAGAGUAACGCCCUGCAGUCCUUGUGCAUGGCGUGACGCAGUUGCCCUUUGGCAGGCUGAAUUCAUAAUUGUCAUUGUUCAGUAGCUAUUUGUAGACUCCAUAGUAAAUUUCAAAACUGCUGUUUACAAAAUGCUUUGUUGUUUUGCUUUUCAGUCAGGCUUUAUACAGGCCUUUUGUGUCUUGGUGGGCUUGGGUGGUGUCUUUGUCCUCAGACCAUCUGUUUUAAUUUCAGUAAUAGCAAUGAGCAAUGAAGUUAAUUUUAGGGGUGUAUACUUUAGUGUUUUCAUUUACCACGGUUUUAAACCUCAAGUCACACAGAACAAUAGGUGCUUCUCUGACCCAUAUUUCACAAAGCUUAAGGCCAUGGGUACACGUUUCUUGGGAUUUAGCAUUAGCAAUUGAUCAGUUUGAGCAAUAAAUUUUCAGUGUCCAUCCUUAAAAAGUCA